Molecule: long non-coding RNA, 2013 nt
Filed under: Anthonomus grandis grandis
Lineage: Eukaryota; Metazoa; Arthropoda; Insecta; Coleoptera; Curculionidae
Description: uncharacterized LOC126744326
Source: RNAcentral
GAAAGUUCUUUGUACAUCUUAGAUCUUCGUAUGCAACCACAAGCAACGAUGUUUGUUUAUAUUCUCGACUUUGCUUUGCCUUGCCAAAGAGUUUUAGAGAAAUUUGAUUUGUUUUGUUUUCUUAUUUACUGUUCAUCGUUGUGUUUUGUGUUUGGUUGAAGCUCUAUUGAAAUAGUUUUUUGCCAAACCUUUUUCUGUUUUACAAACAGUUCUUUUGAGAACUUAUUUUGUGCCAUUCGGUAUUUAACCUAACAUUCGAAUGCGCUUGAAUUUUCAAGCUCCUAUGCUUGUGGGAAAUUAAAUCUUGUACUUAACGUCUGAAAGAGAUAAUAAGGGACCCCUAAUUUCCUUGAAUGCUAUCCAAGAGAGAGUUGCUGAUCUUUGAAGAUAAGCCUUCAAACAGUAUCAAGCAUAAAAAUUUUCAAAGACCGAAAUGAGUUGCCCUCAACACCAGGCAAGGACUGGCCACGGAGGAAGGAAAAGACUCAAGAUCUUAAUGAAUUUACAAAAAUGGAUGUUUGUAGUACAUUGUAUGACAUGUAUGCACAAAAAAAACAAGUUACAAUUCAUAUGCUAAAGGAAGAGCUCCAUCAAAAAGAAAUUCUUCACAUUAAUUGUGGAAGCCUUCGAACACUCCUCUUUAACCUGGGAUUUAAAUACCUUAGGGAUGAUAACAGACGUGCAUUAAUGGAGACAACCAAUAUAUCUUCAAUGAGGGCAGCUUUUUUCAGAAAAUAUAUGGAAAACAAAAACUCACCAUUUGCACAUCAACUUGUGCUUUUGGAUGAAACUUGGAUCUUUUCUAAAGGCAGCAAGAUGAGAUCAUGGCAAGACAAUAGUGUUAAUAGUGUUCGUAAGCCAGGUGGUUUUGAUAGAAAAUGUUUUAUUGUGUUGCAUGCUGGACAUAGUGGAGGAUUUAUUAAAAAUGUCAGUUUAAUUUUUGCCUCUAAAUCUAAAAUUGUUAAUUUAAUGCGAUUGAGAUGAUUUGGGCAGAUGCCAAAAAUUUUUACAAUACCCAUAUGGGUGAAAAUGGGCAUAAAGAUGAAAAUGUACUGGAUAUGUGGAAAAAAUCAUUAGAGAAAUGUACACCAGAAGUAUGGAACGCUAAGGUUUGCCACACUGAAAAAAUAAUCAAGGACUGGUAUGAUAGGGAAGUCAUUAUUGAAGAUAUACCCCAAAUUCUGAUUAGUUUAAACAGUGAAACUAGCUCAGAAGAUAGUGACAGUGAUUAUUCAUAAGUACGUAAGAAUAUUUGGGUUAGGGUAUAAUAUCCGGGUUGCUCCAUUUCUUUUAGCAUAUUAUCAUAAUAAGUAUCUCUUAUAGCACACUUAGAACAUACUUAGUAUUUUCCAUGCUAGAGUUUUGUGUAUUGUAUCCAUAAUUAAUAACGGUUCCGUCAGCAUUUUCUUCUUGAACACAUUGUUUAGGUGCAUAUGAUUUUGGUGAAUUUUCUAUUAGAAAAUUGUGCAGCACAACUGCGACCAUUACUAUUUUAAUACUGUUUUCAGGUUCAACAUUAAUUGCGUCGUCGGCGACAUACACAUACGGCAGUUUCCUACCAUUUCCUUAAAAGUAUUAGAAGGUAAAAAGGUGGAGAUGGUUACUGUGUUGUCAGAAUUUGAAUAUAAAUCAAAAUUUUCGCAUCUUGUGUUAAAAAAAGUGUUAAUACAACAAUUUCUGGUGAUGUUCUAUAGGUGACUGAUAAAAUUGUUGUUUCUAUUACGUUAAAUGAAUACUCUGAUUUAGCUCAUAACUUAGAAUAAAUAGUGCUCAGAUCACUGAAAUAUUUUGUAUGUUUAAUGGGUCUCCAAUUGCAGAAUGUCUUUAUGCUCUGUGAUUAACAAUUACAGUAAUUAAUGUGAUUACAAUCCUAAAUGAAUGUAUUAAAGUUGUUAAGGCCCAAUUGAUUUUUAAGGAAGAUGCUACACCAGUGUUCUAUAAGAGAUACUUAAAAGUAGAAUUCCUAAUCUAUGUUCUUGUUUGUAAAAAAAAAAGAAAAAUUUGAAUGGAGGU